UAUCACCAAGGGAAUGCUGGGAUUGAUUUUGGGGGUAAUUGCCUCCAAAUUUUAGGAAUUAGGGGCCAAAAAAGGGGCAAAAAACAAGCAUUUUUCUAGUUUCAUGACAAUAACUUGUGUGUAAGUGUAUGGAUCUUUCUGAAAUUGUACUACAAGGUUCCAUAUCACAAAGGGAAAGCUGGGUUUGAGUUUGGGGGUAAUUGCCCUAAACGUUUAGGAAUUUGGGGCCAAAAAGGGGCCAAAAAACAAGCAUCUUUCUAGUUUCCAGACAAUAACUUGUGUUCAAGUGUAUGGAUCUUUAUGAAAUUGUACUACAAGGUUCCAUAUCACAAAGGGAAAGCUGGAAUUGAGUUUGGGGGUAAUUGCCCAAAACGUUUAGGAAUAAGGGGCCAAAAAGGGGCCAAAAAUAAGCAUUUUUCUAGUUUCCAGACAAUUACUUGUGUUCAAAUCUAUGGAUCUAUCUUAAAUUGUACUGCAAGGUACCAUACCACAAAGGGAAGGCUGGGAUUGAUUUUGGGGGUAAUUGCCUCAAAACGUUAAGGAAUUAGGGGCCAAAAAGGGGCCAAAAAUAAGCAUUUUUCUUGUUUCCAGACAAUAACUUGUGUUCAAAUGUAUGGAUCUCUCUGAAAUUGUACUGCAAGGUACCAUACCACAAAGAAAGGCUGGGAUUGAUUUUGGGGGUAAUUGCCCUAAACGUUUAGGAAUUAGGGGCCAAAAAACAA
Molecule: long non-coding RNA, 722 nt
Organism: Mytilus californianus (California mussel)
Lineage: Eukaryota; Metazoa; Mollusca; Bivalvia; Mytilida; Mytilidae
Exons: 2
Source: RefSeq, a predicted model, not a curated record